Molecule: long non-coding RNA, 4976 nt
Filed under: Gallus gallus (chicken)
Lineage: Eukaryota; Metazoa; Chordata; Aves; Galliformes; Phasianidae
Description: lncRNA (ENSGALG00010016301.1)
Source: RNAcentral
CCCCGCUGCCCCCGGCCGCCGCCCAGCCGCUGUCAGACGGCGCGGUGGUGCUGGGGCCGGGCGUCGGAGUGAGCUCCGAAGUCUGCACGGGGAGGGCAGUACUGCGUGGAAGAGAUAUACCUGUGACACGUAUAACCAAGAUGCUCCGAGUUAUGGGAAAACAAACACCAAAGAGGUGAGAGAGACUUUUUUACUUAUAUAGAAAUAGCUUCAGGGGAAAUCUGAGGAUUAUAAAACACCAAAAUGCUUGACUGAGAGUUGUUUUACUUGGGGAGGGGCACCAGCAACGCACCCUCAGAAUUAUUCUAGUAAACAUGUCUUGAAACCUCUCUUCCACUAGAGGUCCAGUCUUGGAAUCAUAGAAAAUGUAUACAGAUGAUGCUGCUCGUGAAGAAACAAAAAUCUAUUAAAACACCUCCAGUGCAUCAGUAAAAGUGCUGGAAAGAAAUGUGAGUUUUGACUGUUGCUAAGAAGAGAUGUGGCUGUGUACAUUGCACGGGUCCUCUCCAAGUGACAACUCACAGGCAGGGGAAAAGAGACAUCAUUUAGGAGUUGGACUAGAUGGCUUCCAGAGGUCCGUUGCAACCUCAACCAUUCCACAUUUCUGUGAUUAGAAGAGAUUUUAUCUAUCCACUUUGCUGUGGUUCUUACUCUGGUGGCUUUUGAGGAAGCAUUCUCUCCAGGUUUGUCCCACCUGGAACAUGUUGAAACAGCACGAGCAUAGAGAUUCAAGUUACCAAAAUCCCAAUGGUCAAAAAAAUGGCAGGUUCAGCUGCAGUUUAUGGAAACAGAUAUAAUUGUUAGGGUUCAGAGCUGGCAAUGAGCAGAGGAGCUGGCUUCCAACUCAGGAGGUCACUCAAACUUUGGGUUUGGACUGUCCAGUUUUCUCUGAGAAAUCAUGCCCAAACACUUCUGUGUGGUGCCAAAACCAGAAAAUAUGUAGGUCUCCUCACUGUAAAAAAUCAAACAAUUAUUACAGGAUCUGGAUAAUCUCCACAUGCACACAAUAGAAGAAGUUUAGGGAAAGUUUUGUUGAAAAGAGGAAAUUUUGUCUCAUUAAAUUUGGUGGCAAAAAAUUCCAAAUUCAAGCAUGAUUUCACCCUAUGUUACACUCUUGCCAUUGUGUAGAUUUUUGGUUAUAGAUAAGGAUCAGCCAGGGUUUAUAACUAAGUUUAUUUUGUAGUAAGUCUGUAGCAGCAAUUAAAGUUCCAAAACAGUUUUCACAUACUAGUAAUUUAAAGAAAAGUACAUCUCUGAAGAUGUAAUUUUCCAUUUUAAUCUCCAUCCAAAGAUAUUCUUUAACUUUGGGCAAAUUCCUGUCAAACAGUUUGAGUUAUAAUUGUAUGAAAAAAGAUACUCUGCCAGAUGUAAGAGAAAGAUGACUGCUGACAUUUUUAUUUCUUUUCUACAAGAUAAGCCAUGAGAUCUGACCUCUGAAGAACGGUGUAUAAGUAACCACUCAGGAACUUGUUCAUAAAUGGACUGGAAAAGUAAAGUGGAAAAAAAGCUUAAAUUAUUAAGCCUGAAUGUUGGGUAAUAAGAGUGAACAGUAGAAAUAUGGCAAUUAGAUAUUUAAAUUAUUUUUGAUUCUCAGCCUUCUGCCUGAACCAUACCUGAGACAGUAAAGCUAGUACAUAUGGAGCAGAUAUCAGAGCAUGGGUUAUUUCAACAUCCAGUGCAAUAAUUAUGGCUAUAUUCAGUAUCACAAAUCUCGAAAUUGCAUCAAGCAACUUAAAAAAUAAAUUAAUUAUACUAUCACAAGGCAAACUUGGAAGAAAGUAAUUAUUCUUAACAUAGAAUAGUUCUGAGUAAAGAAUUAAUUUAUUGAUUUAGUAGUGUAGAAUUUGAUUACUUAACGUAUAAAUUCUCCCAGGAAUAGAGUCCUGGGGCAUCCUGAGAGGAGUGACUGAAUAACUGGAGACCUUAACGUGUAGAGGUCUUUGUAGGGUGCUCAGUGUAUCGAGUAAAAGAAAUCAUUAAUCCAAGCUACCAUCUAGCUGUGUUUGCCAUCUUGACUACUCAUCACAAAAAUUUGUCAGACUUAUUCAGAACAAAAAAUACAGAUGUAAUUCCCCACAAGUCCCCAGAGGUGUUUUUCAGUAUGGUUAGUUAUAUAUGGAAGAAACAUCAACAUUUCCUUGAUGCCUGACAGCACAAAAUCCUCAAAUAAAUAGCUACAAUAUUGGGUCUCAUAGUGAAAUUUUUAUAAUGUGCCAUACAAUUUUUAAUAUCUACAACAUAUGCAAAGUAGGAUCAAUUUUCUUACACUAGCACAGCAAAUGCGCCUCUAAGAUCCAGUUAAUGGUAUUAAGGUGCACUGAUAUAUUAUUUUAUUUUCUGACUUUAUCUAUAUUAAAAACAAAAUAAACUGAGAUUUUUAUUCCUCCUUACACCUGUAGAAGUAAUUCUUUAUGUGGUCUGAAUGAAGAUAUGAUAAUGGAUCAUCUUAGUAGCAACGUAUCACUAUGAAUAUGCAUUUGUUUUUCACGAGAAGGAUAUUUUAGGAUCGGGGGGAUAGCACUAGUUCUUAAAAGUAGACUAAAAUUAAAGCUUCUGAGUCCCAGGUGGAGGCAUUAAGAAACUAAAAUACCUGAGUUGAGGAAACCCCCAGCUUUGUGAUCAUGGUUAGACCUUCCAUCUGUAACACUAGAUAUAGAAGGAAAAAUACAACAAUCUGUAUUGCUGUGGCUCCUGGAAAAGCUGAAAGUGUGGGUACCAGUUAUUUACUGGACAGCAUGAAACCACAAAAUAAAUUUAACAGUUUGGAGCCCUGAUCCUUCUCAUUUAUGUUUCUGUUUUGCACUGUCCUUAGAAAAAGCACAAGUCUAAAAAAAGCCAAGGAUAUAAUACCCUGAUUUCCACCAUCUACUUAGCCUUUGAUAGAAGUUUUCUUAUUGAUUUCAAUAACUUGAGCUGCAUAGAAUCAAUCUUGAUAUGCUUUGCUUUAUUGAGACUACUCCCAACCUUGAAGUUAAGCAUUAAGGCUCAGAUUCUCGUGGGUAUCUACAUGUUUAAUUAUUUUCCCACAUCAGAACUAGCAGAUAAAGAUGUGUUCCAAAUUCUUGGCCAUAAGGGCAUGACAGUUCCUAGACACUUGUUUCUGAACCAGGCAGCCUGCCAGGUGGAAGGCUUAUUUGCCUCAAAACUUCAAGAAUCCAGUGUGUCAGGCUGGCACAAUGAACCAAUCACUAAAUUCAGAUCACGUAAUACAUACAAGCAUGGUGUUUUCCUUUUGGUGAUGAAAACUACUGGAAUGUAAUACAACAUUUGAAAAAACAUCUCUGCCAGUGUGCUACAUUCUCUCUUUACACCAGCAGUGAGAAUUCCACGCUAAAAGUGAACUAAUUAUCUAAAAAAAAGAAAAAAGCAGCCAUCCGCAUGAAAAAUCUGACUUAAGAGAGUGAUGAGAAAUACUCUUUUUCAUGUGCGAUCUGAAAGCCACUUCUCUUUGCACAGUUUACUUUUGGCCUUCAGUCCUAGCAGAGGAUUUAAAUGAGUCGCCUUCCCUUUUUGGCUCUUUAAAUACGUUGCUUAAUUCCAUCAACAGAGGUCACUGCCGCUCUUUUCCUCUUUGGUGAAAGCAAGCUUUUUCCAGAGAUAAAACAGAACAACUAAUGCUCUCUACUAGCAGAGUUUGGUUUACCCUUUAGAGACUGGUUUGAGAGAGUUCAUGCAUAAUUUUUUGAGGUUGAAAACCAAAUAAAAGCAACAAUAAUAAUAAUUGGUGGGAAAAUAUUGAAAUGAUCCUUGGAACUUAAUGUAAUUUAUGCAGUUUUUAUUAUAGUGAUAUUUUGAGCUUUCUCACUACGUUUCUCCUUCUUUUCAUUUUGUGGUAUGACCAGCAGUCAUAUCUUCUCUGCAGCUCUUGGUAAUUCAGAAUCAAACAUUUUUGCACCAGUGAAGAAUAAGAGAAAAGUUUAUGAAAGGGUACCUUUAAAUUGCUAAGGUUUGGUUAAUAAAUUUGUCAGCAGUCAUCACUUUCAUCUAAACCUAUGUUUGCAUAAUUAAGAAAAUGAUGAAGAAAUAUUUGGCAAUAUCUAUCAUUAAGAGGAAUUAAAGCCAAAGAGUCCAUUUGAGCUAGCAGUAAUGUGAGACUUGCAGUUUUCUACUGCAAAAUCCAUUACAGGUUGAGCCAAAAAUGCCCACAGACAAAGCCCUUCAGAACUAAAGAGAAUAUAGGAGUUGUACAUAGUGAGACACUAUUAAAAAUAUGCAUUACCAUUUUAUGUGUACAAGCAGAAGUACCUCAGUUUACUGAUCAGGAAAAUAAAACUCAUCUCAGAACCAAAGCAGUCACAAUGCCUACUUCUGAAAAGGUGAUUUUCCUUCACAGUUGUCAAAAUUGCUUAAAGGAUCAGGACAGUGGAUUUCCAUUUCAGACAGAUGUGUUUAGAUGUUUAACAUGAAGAUGUCUACCAGUGGGGUAGGUAUCUGAGCUCUAAUUGGAUCUGAUGGGGUCUAAAUUGCGUGCCAGACCAUUGCAAAGCAGUCAUCCACGUUUGUUCAAGGGAUGUGAGCCACUGGCGGCCUUGACCUGAUGCCCAUGGACUCCAGCCCCAGGGGUGCAGUCCAGCUGCCAUAAGGCUGCCUCAAGUCCAUCUCUGAUCUCCAGCUGCUGAUCCAAAGAGCAGAAGGCUCCUGGAGUUCCCGUCCCAAAUCUAGCAUCUCUCAUAGCUUGAUUCACAUCUGAAUGACAUAGCCCUGAGUGCCUUUACCUCUAUUUUACAUGUGAGAAUACUGACACAUAGAAAGCUGAAGAGAUUUGUCCUAGUCCUAACACAAACCAAAUACCUACAGCCUCUGUUCCUUACUCAACAAAAGUAGAGAAGGAGAAACAAAUUCUGAGAGUUUCUGAUUCAGCUUCAAAGGAAAAAAUUGUGUGUCCCAUAAUAUAUUUACCUCUUACAAGUCCCUUUAGUGUUUUUUGUUGCUCUGGAAAACAUGCAGAGUAUAUUUAGUUUUUGGAAAAGAGCAAC